RNAcentral lists this long non-coding RNA (867 nucleotides) under Homo sapiens (human). RNAcentral describes it as "non-protein coding lnc-TMEM138-10:2". Lineage: Eukaryota; Metazoa; Chordata; Mammalia; Primates; Hominidae. The record is from RNAcentral.
GAUCUGCCCCCCUCGGCCUCCCAAAGUGCUGGGAUUACAGGACUGAGCCACCAUUCCCAGCCCCAAAUGAAUUUCUGUUACUUCACAGCCUUUUGUCAAAGCAUUAUGCCUUAGGCCGACCCCACACCCCCAGGGAAAGGAAAAAAGCCUCAGGCAUCCUUAGAUGACUGCCCUCAGAAAUUGUUCUGUGCUGGCUUUGAACCCUUUCAAGAUGUCCUAUAAAACAAGGACAUGCCAAUUCUUACUUCAGGUCUGCCUGCAAUCUAAGUCUAGCUCCUAAAGUAAGAGUUUGUUAGAUUUCACACUGAUGAUGCUUGUAUUGAUGAAAAAGAAAGCCGAACUCUAAAAUACUUGAAGAGAUGUAUUAUUCUGAGCCAAUGUGAGGACAAUAAUCCAUGACAAAGCCCCAGGAGGUCCUGAGAACACGUGCCCAAGAUGGUUGGGUUACAGCUUGAUUUUAUGUAUUUUAGGGGGACAGAAGUUACAAUCAGAGACAUAAAUCAAUAGACGCAAGGUGUACAUUGAUUUUGCCCAGAAAGGCAGGACAUCUCAAAAGGGGAAGCCUUGCAAGUCAGGUGGAUUUAAAGAUUUCUGAUUGGCAACUGGUUGAAAGGGUUAAAUUUGGGCCGGGCACAGUGGCUCACACCUGUAAUCCCAGCACUUUGGGAGGUCGAGGUGGGGUGGAUCACGAGGUCAAGAGUUCAGGACCAGCCUGGCCAACGUGGUGAAACCCUGUCUCUGCUAAGAAUACAAAAAUUAGGCAGGUGUGGUGGCACAUGCGUGUAAUCCCAGCUACUCAGGAGGCUGAGGCAGGAGAAUAGACUCUGUCUCAGAAAAAAAAAAAAAAAAAGUUAAAUUCUGCCUAAA